Molecule: ribosomal RNA, 460 nt
Filed under: uncultured bacterium
Lineage: Bacteria
Description: partial 16S ribosomal RNA
Rfam family: Bacterial small subunit ribosomal RNA
Source: RNAcentral
CCUACGGGUGGCAGCAGUGAGGAAUAUUGGUCAAUGGACGAGAGUCUGAACCAGCCAAGUAGCGUGAAGGAUGACUGCCCUAUGGGUUGUAAACUUCUUUUAUAUGGGAAUAAAAUGUUCCACGUGUGGGAUUUUGUAUGUACCAUAUGAAUAAGGAUCGGCUAACUCCGUCCCAGCAGCCGCGGUAAUACGGAGGAUCCGAGCGUUAUCCGGAUUUAUUGGGUUUAAAGGUGGCGUAGGUGGAUUGUUAAGUCAGUUGUGAAAGUUUGCGGCCAAAGCGGAAAAUUGCAGUUGAAACUGGCAGUCUGGAGUACAGUAGAGGUGGGAGGAAUGCGUGGUGUAGCGGUGAAAUGCUUAGAUAUCACGAAGAACUCCGAUUGUGAAGGCAGCUCACUGGACUGCAACUGACACUGAGGCUCGAAAGUGUGGGUAUCAAACAGGAUUAGAUACCCGGGUAGUC